Molecule: ribosomal RNA, 214 nt
Filed under: uncultured Prauserella sp.
Lineage: Bacteria; Bacillati; Actinomycetota; Actinomycetes; Pseudonocardiales; Pseudonocardiaceae
Description: partial 16S ribosomal RNA
Rfam family: Bacterial small subunit ribosomal RNA
Source: RNAcentral
ACAGGAUUCCGGCAGAGAUGUCGGUUCCCUUGUGGCCUGUGUACAGGUGGUGCAAUGGCUGUCGUCAGCUCGUGUCGUGAGAUGUUGGGUUAAGUCCCGCAACGAGCGCAACCCUUGUCCUAUGUUGCCAGCGGGUUAUGCCGGGGACUCGUGGGAGACUGCCGGGGUCAACUCGGAGGAAGGUGGGGAUGACGUCAAGUCAUCAUGCCCCUUA